CUGCUGGGCAGGCAUUGUGCCUCCUUUCCCUGCCUGUGUUUUAAAGCCUCUACAUCUGCCAGCAGGAGGUGGUUGAUUUUAAUAGUACGAGUUGCAUGAGUAAAACUCCAGACAUACGGAGCCCUGUGUCACCAGGAGGAGUCCUCCCACCCCAGGCAGACCCUGCCAUGGUCACCAGCCUCCUCGGGAGCAGUGCAGAUCUCAUGGAAAUACGGAUUUGAUGGAUUUCAAGGAAAUACUUGCCACUGAGACAAGGUGGCUGCAUGCCCAACACCCCCAGAACACCAGAGCUGGCAAAGAUCAUGUUUCUUCCAUGCAUGACUGUGGGAAGCAUUGCUCACUGGAAAGUGCUCAGAAAAGGCAAUUUUAAUCCAGCAGAUACUGAUUUCUCACAAUGGCUAUUUUUACAACCGCAAUAAGAUUAAUGAAGAUUGGUGAUUAACCUAAAUUACUCUCACUAGAAGAAUCAAAGCAGCACUGCUAGAAGUCCCUGCUAGAAGGUGAUUUCCCCCAGCUGGGCUGGCUGGUGCCCCCCUCCAUGGUGUGGUGCAGGGGAGGCUGCCCAGCAGCUGGGAGAGGGCCAGGGCACCCCACGAGUGACCUUGAACAUCCCCUUUCAGCUGGGACAAGAGCAAUAGAUGACAUCCUCAGAGCUUUAACCGUGACUUCAUGUUUCCAUCCUUAGGUCAGGAAAUGAGCAACUCCUGCCUCCAUCAUGGCCUGGGUCAAAUACAAUUCCCAAUGAGGCACAGUCCGUGCAGCCUCCCAUGACAAAGGCACUGCACACAGAAUGAUCUCUGCUGGCUGGUGUGGUGGCACAACACCAGUCCAGGAAGCCUGUGCUUGAAUGAAGGCACCAUCCAAACACUGACAGCUUUUGCCAGCCUGGAGCCCCCAGGCUGCACGGAGCAGGGGAGGCAGGGAGCAGGGACCCGGGAGCAGGGAUCCUGCCCUGCCAGGCCAGGCUCUGCUGGGCAUGGCCACCCCGUGCUGGACACAGACAUCUCUGGGCGGUUGCAUUUGCUGUGCUGGAUUUAACCAGCAGUGUUUUGGGUACCAGAAUGUCUUUAUCACAUUAAGAAUUAACAGGAAAUGUUUCAUAAUAAUGGCAGCAUGCUGUGAGAGUGAUUUCAACUGUUUUUAAUAAUCCUAGAUCAAUUUUUUUCUCCCACUUUCUCCAGAUUUGAAAGCUCAAUUAAUUUUGAGCUAAAACUCUGUCAUCUCAAGCACAUGUGGCAGAGUGAGAAUUCAUGCGAGACAAUGGUUAAUUUUUUUUAUCUUCAGCUGCCUAAUGACAGGUGUGCUGUCCUAAAUAAUUAGCUUUCAAAACGGGAUCCCUUUAACCCUUCUCUGAAACUGGUUACUGAUCUCAGUUUUACUUCAUUAAGCUCUUGACAGCUCUAUGUACUCACAUCUGUUACUGUUUGGUAGUUUGAUUCCAAGAACACAAAUCGCUUCAAGAACUGGCAACAAAUUCAUUCCGCUCAGGAUGCAGAUCAAAAUCCAUCUGUUUGCUAAUCAAAAGCCAUAUUUUAGUCACAGCACACCAGUGGUUUUAGCACUAUUGUAACUUAGCCUUUCUGCCCUAAAGAUGAUGGGCAGUGCUCUGCUCUCAGGCUGCAUUUACACGGGCCACAGAGCACUCCUGAGGGGCUGGGAGGGCUGUUCCACCCCCUUGGGAAGAGAAAGCAGAUGAUCUGCUGAAUAUUUCAGAGUCUUUGGGAUGAGAGAUGGAUGUGAGCACAAUGCAAUAAAGUGACUUUUUGGUUCUUCAUCUGCUCAGAAAAAAAGAAAAGUGCAAGCUACCAAAACUGACAUCAGAAGACAGACAGAGGAACACGUGGAAAAACAGUGAGUGAGACCGUGAGGAGAUGAGUGACCUGCUGUUGCUGCCCUGGGGGGAGUCAACUCAGAUGAGGGGAUCUGUAGAUUUAUGUUCCAAAAUGCAAAUCCUAAGAAAGUACUUAUAUGUGACAAAUCAGCACGACUGUAUGUGUCAGCUUCUAGUUUUAAGGGACAUUUUGAUUUUAAAGAGCAGGGGAGAUGAUUGUAAAAUGAUGCCACAUCAUUUAACUGUGGUUUCUACAGCGCUGUCAAUGGAUGGCAAAUGUAGAGUGGUCAGAGGCUAUUACAGGACAAUCACCUCUUCAGAUGAGAAAAUCUGCGCACAUUAGGCAGCAUAAUUUCCCAUGGAAUUCGUUCUUUGAGGCGGGCUGCUGUCCUUGCAGCAGCUUAGCUAGUAAGGGAGUUAAAAGUGACCCCAGUUGUCCUCUAGGAAGACGACGUGGGGAAAGGCAAUGGGGAGGGAAUCAUUCCAGGCUAGAAGAAAGCUAGGUUAAGUAGAAGGUCAGAAGACACUGACAAAAUCUUUGUUGAUUUUUGGAUGCAAAAAAAAAUGAAAUAAGGAUUUGUAAUAAGAUUCUCCAGGUUUUUAUGUUUGUUUGUCAUUUCUGCUCUCUGGGCUGUUAGCUCAUGAAUGUGCUGAUCUUCUCCAUCGUUAUAUUUUCAAAUGAAAACAAGGAAGUAGAGGGUGCAGAGUUGUGAGAUAAUAUGAGUGUAUUCAACAGCUAUUAUGAAAGAUUUGGAAAGCAAGGACUAACAAUAGUGCCUAAGCAACCAGGCUGUGUAGCUCCUGCUGCCAAAAGCAGCAUCAGGCAUUUGGUUUGCAUCUGGAGUGUGUGCCGAGAGGCCCCGAGCCAGGCAGACACUGCUGGCUCAGCCAGGGGGCACAAGGUCUAGACUGGAUAUAGCAGGUUAGUGAGCAUCUGCUGGAGGGGAGCUAAUCCAGGAUUAUAACACACUCUUCCAAUCCCACAUGCUUUCAGAGCAAUGGAACACACUUGUGGCAGGUGUUUUCAUAAAGACAGUUUCUUUAUGCCCAUACUAACUGAAAAUGUUAAAUAGAAACACGUGUGUGUGGCAGGUGAUGAAAAGAGCAUUUGAAGUUCAGAAAGUGCAGUGGUAUUUCAAUUAAUCUGAAAAUACUUGCAUUUUUCAAAUGGUAAAUUUGCAUUUCCAUGCACAACAAAUACAUAAGCCUGACAAGCAGGCUUAACUGAAGAUUGACUUCAUUAAAAAUCAAAUUUGCAGAUUUCUUGCCCUUG
This is a long non-coding RNA of Apus apus (common swift), 3104 nucleotides long. RefSeq lists it as uncharacterized. Lineage: Eukaryota; Metazoa; Chordata; Aves; Apodiformes; Apodidae. The transcript has 2 exons. The record is from RefSeq and is a predicted model, not a curated record.